Molecule: long non-coding RNA, 7200 nt
Organism: Cavia porcellus (domestic guinea pig)
Lineage: Eukaryota; Metazoa; Chordata; Mammalia; Rodentia; Caviidae
Exons: 2
Source: RefSeq, a predicted model, not a curated record
UUAGUUGGCUUCAGGAUCAGAACAGGAGUCUGAGCCUGACCCAGCCUGGCCCAGCGUGGGUGUGACAGCGGCCCACUAGCCCCAGUCGGCACAGAUGUGGCUGUGAGCAGGCAGCUCUCCGCGCUGGGCGCAGGGAGGGCUGUGUCACCAUGUGGCUUUUGUCCCCUCUCCUAGUUUAGGAGGCGCCUGCUGUCCUUUACUGUUUGCAUGCUUUACCUAUGUUUCUACUGUUGUACGGCUUCUCUACAGACCCACUAAAUUCAAGACUUCAUUCCUGAGUCUGAGUCUAAGCUGGAAGCAGAAUGCACAGCCGUUAUCCCAGCACUCCGCAAGGUUGAGCCAAGUUUUAGCCCAUUCUGAGCAACUUAGCGAGAUUCUGUCUCAAAAUGAAAAACAGAAAAGAGUUGGAGAUGUAGCCGAGCAUGAAAGCCCUGGGUUCCAACUCAGCUAUACACUAACAAAAUCUGCCUUCCCCGCCGCUCGAGGCUCUCGGAUCACGGGUUUUGGCUCUGGUCCAGCUGAACGGGGCUCGAGACUCCGGAGCUGGGAUUUCCAGGGGUGUCCCUGAGACCGCCACGGCUUUUUAUCCUUUCCAUGGACUUCAGCUCUGGCUCCCAACAGCCCAUCGUCUCGGGGUUGGUAGAGGGUGGCCGGUCGGCUAAGGGUUCCAGACUUCAGACUCGCCGCCACCUCCUGGCACAGCUAAAGGAAACCUUUAGCCUUACCCAAAAGUGGGGGGGGGGGGAAACGCCACUAUAACGUCAUUUCCUGUUCAGCCCCUAGACUCGCGCUGGCUUCUGUGAAAUCUAGCACCGCCUGUGCUGCUAAGUGUUACUACGGGACCCCGUAGAGGUCCUACGGGUCCUCACUAGGACCAUUUCUCCUUUCAAAACCCCGCUCCGGCUUCCGGGCCUGUUUGAAUCUUUCCACAUGUACGCUGCGGUGAGGUGUGUUUUUCCCCGCAGUGCGGCUCCCCACGGAACGGCCUCAACUAAAAGGCCAAGUCUACCUCCAUCUGACUUCCGGCUUCGUGGCAUUACAGCAUGCCCCUGGAUUUCUACUGCUGCUGCGGCUUCUGCUUAGGAGCGGAGGCUGCUUACUGACCCCAGCUGGGAUUCCCUCCUGGCCGUCAUCCAUUCUUGCAGACUUUGCGACUUCUUUUUGCAUUUUCGAGUUUCCUGUAAUAUUAAUCGGUAUGAAUAUAGAUAGUGUGUGCUGGGUACAGUAUUUUUUUUUUUAAGCCUCGGUUUAUCCUUUCCCUGAACUCCAGAUAGAAGGUCCCUGGAUCGCAGGGUAGAAAGUGGGAGCUCCCAUCAGAUCCCUAUGUCUCUUGGCGCAGGUUCCCUCGGUUCUGAAUCUCCCUUUAUGGUGCUAACUAGUAGUUGAGGUCCAGGACAUGUUUGUGCACCACUUCGCAGUAGAUGUGCUGUAGAAAAUCAAACAGAAGGAAUACCAUAGCCCAUAUUAAGAAAAAAAAAGUUUGAAGGGAAAAUCCUCGUGGUGAAAGAUAAAUAUUUUCCUAAUAAAGUCAGGAAUAAGGUUUAAUUGUCAGCUGGCCAUCCUGGUGCACACUAGUAAUCCUAAUAUUCUGGGAGGCUGAGGUAGGAGAAUUGCAAUCUCGAACCCAGCCAGGGCAAUUCAGGAAAACCUUUUCUUAAAACCUUAAAAACUGAAAGUUAACAUAAAUAUGUAUCUGGUUGCUGAAUACUAUUCAAAUGAGUUUCGUUUGAAAUGAUUUAAAAAUAUAGUAAUUUGGGGAAAUAGCUCAGUAGUAGACCUUCAUAGGGUCACAAUAGAAUAUGAAUCUCAUUAAGUUUUCUAACUAAUCCUAACUGUGGGAAAUAGGCCAAGGAAUAGGGUAGACAAAGAGAGGAAAACCAGAUACAGGCACUGAAUGGCUCUGGGAGUUGUAUCAAGAGAGCAGAGAAGAGCUGACAGGACACAGAAAGCCAAAUGCACAGAUAAUAACCCACCUCCACCUCUACCUCCAAUAAAAUAUAAGGGAAGCAAAGAGAAGGGGCUAACUUUAAGGCAGUAUGUACUCACACCUGAGCAUAUUAUAUGAUAUACACAUAUAUUCAUAUACAUAUAUAGUACAACAGAUAUCCUUAUACUCCCUUGCUCACUCUAAAGUAACCAUUGAAUAAGGUACUCCCUUGCCAAGUAAUCAUCUUCCAAAGAUAGGGGAUUGAAAGGUAGGUCAAGGACAAGUAAACGGAAAGAAGCUGCACAUAGAUUACUAGCAGAGAGGAUAUUAGGCAGAAGUUCCUAGAAGCCAAUCUAGUUAUGGCAAGUUCCAGGUGUGGAGAAAGGGGUAGCUAGCUCUCCUCUCCUGUCCCUUCCUUUUCCUCUUUACAUAUAGUCUUCCUUUCCUUAAACUUUGCCCCUCUAAGUUUUUAUUGGGGCUGAGUUUAUGACCCCAGUGGAAUGUUUGGAUAACAGAGUAGUGUUGCUUGUCUGCAGGAUGCAACAUUUUUUGUUCAACUGGGAACCGGAUGAGACUUGUAUGAGCCUGAGGCCUUCUGUUUGGUCCCAUCCAGAGACAACAAAGUGCCUCUUUCAUUUUUCCAUAUACCUGCUGGAGGGGAUGUGGCUUGGCCUGCAGCCAGUGCCCACCUCCUUAUCUCCCUUUGCUCCCCAACCCCUGUGAACUGGGACAACUUGCUUCAGUCUCCUCCCUAGCUAUUACCACCAUUGCCAUUCUCCCUCCAGCUUGAGUGCAACCAGUCAGUAUGGUACCGUUGCUCCACGCUUGCCACCUCAGAUGGUACUGUUACCUUUUUGAAGAAGGGAGGGGGCAUUCUGGCCUGGCUAAGAUGAGGAAUGGAGGAAUCUGGGCCCCUUAUUUGCAUACCUAGUAUUAAUAGUAACCAAGAUUAAAGAUUUUUGGGCUAUUGAUUCUGGGAAUUCUUGAGUCUUUUCCUGUUGCAAGGUGUGGUCUGAAUAGGGGAUCUGUGUUCCAUAGACUUCCUUUUUUCUUUUUCUUUUUCUUUUUCUUUUCUUUUUUUUUUUUUUUUUUUUGUCUUUUUCCUUUUUAUCGGUACCAGGGAUCUAACUCACGACUGCUUGCUUGCAAGGCAGGCUCUUAUGCCGCUGAGUUAAAUCCCCAGCCCCUCCAUAGACUUUCUUGAUGUUUACCCUUGUCUCCUCUCUGCUGGACUCCAAUCUGUGCAAGUAAUUUGUGGCUUACUUUUGGACUGUGUACUUGUCUGAGAAAAUACUAGUCCUUAUAUUUUUGUUACACUAUUUGCUGCAAUAUAGUCUGUCAUGAUUGUUUUUCUUGUGAGUCUGCCUAGUGCUGUUAUUUUUAUCUUUAUUUAUUUAUUUUUUUGGUACCAGGGACUGAACUCACAAUCUCGUGCCUGACAUACAGGCACUCUGCUGCUGAGCUAUAUCCCUGUUCCCUAGUGUUGUUGUUUUUUUUUUUUUUUUUUUUUUUUAGAAAUACUGAGGGUGUGUUCUAUGGAAGAGCUGUGAUAUUUUGGUUAGCGCAGAUCUCUUAUCCCAGGUUGUAGCCAUAAAGUACUAAGUUCAAAAUUUGCCUGUUAAAGUUGCCCACCAAAUAGGAAAACCGCACAGUAUUCCAAAGAACUUGCCGGUAGGAUACCUCUUGGCUAACUGGGGCAAAUUGAAGGAGGGUGAUUUAAAGAAAAAAGAGGCUGAUCUCAUAUAACACAACUUGGCCUCAGUGUAAGUUGGGAAACCAAUUAUAUGACCCAAAGACUGAGUCGCUGAAUUAUAAUACGGUUCUCUAGCUAGGUCUAUUCUGUAAAGGGGAAGGGAAGUGUCAAGAUAUCCCUUACAUCCAGGUGUUUAUGAAACUAUUUGUAUGGCUGUGGUUUCUAAAUCCCCCAGCUUUAUCCCCAACCAGGAUCAAGGCAUCUUUAUCUCGGCCCUCUCCACCACUUGCCCCAUCAAGAUCUCAGAACUGAGAUCAGGAAACAAACAGAUUCUUCUGGAAUCUGUUUCCAUUAUGAAAUGUUAGGUGGAGAUGGAAGCAUUAUCAGGGUACAUGUUCCCUUCUCUGCAACAGACAUGACUCAGUGUAAAGAAAGUUUUGGCAGUUUUUCAAGAAUUUUGAUAAGUUUAGGCAUGAAUUCAUUAAACUGAUUGCAACUUUUGUUCUAGCGUGGAGAGACUUGAUUAUGGAAUUAACCAUUGCUGCACUCCUGAUGGGAAAGAAUGUGUUUUUACUACUAAAGUAGCUGAUACAUUGGCCUUAACUCCAGACCAUGAUGUUCAGAGGGCUGCAGAGGAAGAAGUUCCUGUGCAGACCCCAAAUGGUAUGGUGAAAAUUCUAUUCAUAAGAGAAUGGAAAAUUUUGUAACUUGUAUCUUGGAAGAAAUGGGGCAGUGUCUGGUUAAGCCUAUCUAUUAUGAUCAGGUUAAAGUGGUAACUCGAAGAGAAUCCUGCUUCUUUUCAGAUCUCCUGUCAGACGCCUUCUGAAAUAUACUCACACUGAUGCCGGGUCAGCAGGAGGGACAGCCUUUUUUUUUCUGGUCUUUUGAGAUAGGGUCUCACUUUGCAGUUCAGGCUGGUCUUGACUCACUUUGUAGUCUCAAACUUGCAGUGAUUUUCCUGCCUCCGUCUCCCAAGUCCUGGGAUUAGAAGGGAAAGCUUUGAUAGCAAUGGAUUUUAUGCUGCACUCUGAUCCAUAUAUGUGGAGGAAGUUAUGAAAACUUGAGGCAGUUCAAUGUGAUCCCAAUCAAAAUUCCAAUAGCAUAUCUCAUAGAAUUAGAGAAAACAAUCCUAAAAUUCAUCUGGAACUAAAAGAGACUUAGAAUAUCAAAGGCAAUCCUGGGCAACAAAGACAAAACAGGAGGCAUCACAAUCCCUGACUUGAAAUUGUACUAUAAUAAAGCUACUAUGAUAAAAACAGUGUGGUACUUGGAAAAAAAAAAAAACAGACCCAAAGAUCAAUGGAACAGAUUAGAAGAUGCAGAAACAACUCCAGACACAUUAAGCCACGAUUAAUGGCUCUGAACGUGGUGGAGCCCGGAAGACUUUGUACUGCCUCAGUCCAGGGUCUCCCUUUCCGGAGAAUCUGUUUGAUCCUAGGCGCAAAUAUGCACACUGGUUUCUUGCCAAGUAAGUUUUGGAAGGGGAAGGUGCCUGUUCAGUGUCUCCAAUAACUGGAACUAGGCAGAGGGAGCAAAGACAGAUAAGAGAUUAGACAAAAGAUGCAACUUUUGGCUGCUUUAAUUCAACUGCCACCUCAGGGUAACUCAGAAUCCCUUCCAUCAAAAUUGGAAGACAUCUCUGUCAGUCUGCAAGGUCUUGGGUAACCAUUGGCUUGGCAGCUAAAGAAAAAUAUCAGUCUUGUUAUGGAUACCAGGACAUUUUUUUAAAAACCAAAAUCCUGUCUAGGAAUGUUUUGUUUGUUCAGUUUACAUAGUCUACGUAAUAUGUUGUUCACCAAGUUCUGUAGGCCUUACUUUGAGCCCCCGUUACCUAAAUAUAUGUGAGCACAUAAGUUGCAAGUGUACACCAAGACACUUUGAGGCCUUUUUUGGAAAUGAUUGGCUGUGCCCGAGAUGCCUGAGUUUGUCUGACCUGGGAAACUCUUACUGUUACCUUUGUCUCUCUUUGUCACAUCAUCAGGUAGCAACAGAAGCCCUUAACCCAAACACUGAGAGAUGUCUCUUGGUUGGAACCCUCUGUCUCCUGGUACUUAUUUAUAUACAGUGACAAUAGGAUAUUUUGUUUGUCUGAGAGUUGUGACUACAAUUUUCUCCUGAUGAGGAAAGCCACUAAGUUUUCUUUGGAAGUACUGAUUGCUAAGUAGGGUCAAGAUGUCUUAAUGACAAAUGGAUGUCAUUAGAUGACCAGAGGCCAGUUGUUGCCAUUGGCUCUUCUGUUGAUAAUGGAGGAUAUGGAAGGAAAUGGAUUUUGUUUUGAUGAUAAAGCUAUAGAAAGAGAUGCCCACUAUAGGUUUAGAGAAUUAAAUGAGUGAGAUGCAAGGAAACAUGGCUAUAAAGGGAUAAUAUAUUCAUAUAAGAAGGAAUUUUGAGGCUGCAUGUGGUGGUACAUGCCUAUAAUCCCACCACUCAGAGGCUGAGGCAGGAGAGUUGCCAAAAGUUCAAGGCCAGCCUGGGAUACAUAGUGAAUUCAAAGUUAGCCUGCUCUACAAAGUGAGACCUUGUCUCAAAAAAAGAAAAAAAAAAAGAGUGGGGGGAAGGAAGAUAGGAAGAAAGAAUUUUGAAUGAUGAAAUUUUACCAGAAGAGUAAAGUAAGCGGCACAGGAUUUGCAAGGGAUGAAGCUUAUGAAGGGAAACUGCAUGUACAUGUAGAAAAGUUGGCUAUAGCUUGAGCUCAGUAAAAAAGCAGCCCAGACAAUGGACCCAGGAAGGUUGCUGGCUAUGGUUUUGGACCAACCUCUGCAGCAGCGUCCCCAGUCCUCUGAUUGAGAGAAGAGGGUCUCAGACCCCAGGGUAUCAAGAUCUCUUCAGUGUGUUCCCAUAACCAGCUGUGUGGAUCCACCUCUGCCACAUCCCACACAGCUCUUGAUGUUCCCAGGAUGGGGACAGUUAGAGGACGGAGAAAAAAAAAAACAAGAGUCAGAAUACAGAAAACAGACCAGAUGGAGCCCUCUCUCCUGAUUGGAAAUAAGCAAGGAAGAAGGAGGAGGAGGAGAAGGAGAAGAAGCAAAGGAAUGGCUGCAGUGCAUUUAUUUAUACACUUGGGAGUUGUCAGGUGAAACCUCUCCAUCUAAGAGAUUAUCCACAUGGCUUGUCUCAGGUGCCCAGUGUUCUUGAGCUUAGAGCAGCUUACCCAUGUGACUUGCCUCAGGAGCUCUGUGUUCUUGAGGCUGGCCUUGCUCCAGCUCUACAUGUGAUUGGUCUCCAGCUUCAGCUGCUCCCCACAUCUCCUCCAUUUCUGUUUUAUAGUUAUAAGUGAUGGGUAGUAACUUGAGGUUGAAGGAGCUGUGUUUGGGGGACUCUGUAGCAGAUCUUCUCCUCAGAUCUUUUCCAUUCUAGAUGAACUUGUUUGAUUUGGGUUAAAUAUUCCCAGUCUAAGACUUUAAAUCUCUGUAUUUAGCAAUUUAAUCCUAUACAUCACAUUAUCCUGAAACAGUGAUCAAUUACUUGUGUAGUUGGCAAUUGUUUUAUACUUCUUAUGGUUAUAAUUUUCUGCUGGGUGUUCAAUACCAAAUUAAGGUGUGAUCUGUGUUAAUAAAUUUUUGUUUUUUAUGAAAACGUU